Mugil cephalus (flathead mullet) is the source of this 807-nucleotide long non-coding RNA. RefSeq lists it as uncharacterized. Lineage: Eukaryota; Metazoa; Chordata; Actinopteri; Mugiliformes; Mugilidae. The transcript has 3 exons. The record is from RefSeq and is a predicted model, not a curated record.
CCCAUGCCUCCUAACUUUCAACAUCCCAUGAUCAUCAGCCAGGCCAAGGAGUAUGCCAGGAGGCUGACAGAGCAUCAGUUUGAGGCCCCCAGCUCCAAACAGCCUGAACCAUGGGAGGUGGUGGCGGAGGUGGUCCACAAAGUCCUGCAGGGCUUCUGGGACUAUCCUCCGCUGUUGGAGUCACAAAGGGACCAGGUCUAAGCUGCUCUGUCCUCCAUAUUCAUGCGGUUCACGUACACUCGUGCCAUGCGAUAUGAUCCGGUCUAUCCAGGAGAAAGGUUUUCUUGUCACCACUGCUGAACCACCACUGUUGUACAGUAUCCUGGAUGCAGCUCCCGCACCCUCUACUAAUGGAUGUCCUUCCAUCCCUACAGUCCACCAAACCCAGACUAGACCUCAACUGCUGACUACAUCCAGCCCAGAGGCCGGGUCUUCUGUGGCUCAUCCACCCUCACCUGUUAACGCUAUAGAUGAAGCUCCAGCUAAUGUUCAGGUUCCAUUUACAUUUUCAUUGCUUUAUUUCAGUUUGAUUUGUUUUCAUUUUUAUUUCAUGGUUCAUUUACGUAGUUCCUUUUCUCUGCUGCAUGUUACAUCAUUUCCAUGCAUGGCAUCUUUGUUUAUGUUAAUUUAUUUAUUUUUUUGUUUAUUUUAGUUUCAAUUAGGUUUUAUUCCAUAUUAUUUCAUUUUCAUUGUUUACCAUUUCACUUACAUUUUUGUUUUCAUUAUUCAUUUCAUUUUCAUUUUUUGUUGUUUAGUUUGAUGUUUUUGUGCACUGUAUGUUGUUGUGAAUGCUGACUUCAGGUUCUC